AAGGCGUGACGAUUCCAGUUGAGUUGAGCUGCUGCGUGCUAUCUGUAAGCAAGCAUUCCAAUUGGGUGUCGCUAGGUGGCUCCAAUGUCUUCAGGCCAAUACGGCCAUUUUGUUCUUUGACGUCCGAGUUGAGUAGUUUACGGCUUUACGCAGCAGAACAGGAACGUCGGUCGGGACGUUUUUGCAUGAUGAAAAUACUAAGGUGAUUUCAAUUAUAAAACACCACUUUGUCAAACCAUUGAACUCGGACUUGAGUGCCUGUUCAUUUUACCGAAAUGUGUGCUGCAUGUAUACCCACUCGUAACGUCUCGUCCCAUGCAGAAAUAACAGUUAUACUUGGCAAUUCCAUCUGAUCAUGUGGCCUGAAACUGCUGUACAUUUUCCCAAAAUGUUGUCUCUUGCUGCACGUACCGGGUGUACAUUUUGUUUUGCCACAUGCAGAAAUUCUUCAGAAAAGUUCUGGAUUUGUUGCAGCCAGCUGUUGGACGGUGUUACUCUUGCAGCUUGCUACAAGUACCGAUUGUAGCUUUCGUCACAUGCAGAAACACUUCAUGUCCACUCCCCCUCAAUUAUUCAAAAUGGUGGCCAUCUGACAUGUUGAUUCCUGUAGAGGUGUGAUUGUGAUGAACAAUUCUCAUUCUCAGCUUUUUGAGAGAAGCUGUCUGUCAGGUUAUUGCAUGUUGCUCUUUUGACCAACUUGAAAAAUAUCUUACGAAUGGAUGUAAAGCCAGUUUUCUGUAUGUUAGAAACUCGGGGAAUGACAAGUAAAAUUUCUAAUUUGUUCGUAUCCGUGGUUAAAACAGUAAAAUGUCAAAAAUGAAAUCCGCCAAACCCCAGGUAGUGCUUUUCUUCGUGCCGGGAACGAAAUUCCGCCAUUUCCCAUUUGUUUCCGAGACACUGACCGAAAAUGUAUUACGAACUUCCGGCGUCCUUUUAGCUUUUCAGUCAUGUUAAUCAAAAGGUAUAGCCUAUAGCAUCAACUUGGCCAUAAUAAUCCGAUAACGUGGACUAAAACUGCUGUAGCUUGCUUUCGAACUGCUGUUACCUGUACGUCUCAUCCCAUAUAACAAAGGAGGAGAUCCCUCUGCUUAACUGACGGAGGAUUUGAGAACAUGCAGAAUGUGAACUUCAUUGCUGUCUUUCAUGCUAUGGUUUUGUUGCAGCCAGCUUGUGAAAGGUGUGGUAAAGCUGCGGCACAAAUACAUCAAAGUUGAGUCACUAACUACAUUCCUCGUCGUGUAACCAAAUCGCAAUCAUGGCAGGUACAAUUGCCGCACGGCUCGAGUAGAAGGUGAAUCACGAGAAGGAAAAACUUAGUAAGCGAGAGAAUUGUCGAUAGAAGUCAAUCAAAUGAGCAUCUCAGACAUGGCAAAUUGGCAACUACUAGUUCGCAAUUAUGGUAUGCCAGUUAUUAUAGAUUAUUAAUGUGGAAACUAAUUGCUUAGCUAACCAAAGCGUCGUGCUGCUGUUGGUUAUUGUAUCGCUGAUGGAUGGGUCGACCACGAUCGUACCGAUGUCUCCUGGGUAUGGUGGAUACUAAGCAUCAGCAGCGAAAGAAUAGUAAACCACGUCGCCACCUUUCUACACAACAAUUUUUUUCCUUUCUACGCAAUACGCAAUACCUACUUACUAACAGAGGCCCCCAAAUUACUACACCACCUAGGCUCCAGAGUAUUGCAAGAAGUAUUACUCUGCCCCGAGCUACUAUACUGAUGAUUACUCUGCUUUGAGUUACAUCACCAAGGCGUCUGAGUACCACACUGAGUCUCGCAAGUACACCACCAAAGCUCCAGAGUAUUACACUACAAUCUACGCUGCUCCAGUAUACUAUACUGAUGCUCCCAAUUACUAUUUUUCUCCCAGCUACUACACCGAGGCUGCAGCCUUUUACACUACCAAAUAGGUCGAAUACUACACCGAAGCGCGCCUAAGUACUACACUGCAACCUACGCUACCCCAGCUUACACCGCCAAGACGCAUAAGUGUGACACUGUCAAGACAAGUUUGCAAUCAUUGUGCUGCUGUUGGAUGUUAUCGUUGAUGGCUGGGUCGACCACUGGUGUACCGAUGUCUUCUUGGUAUGGUGUAUACUAAACCGCAACGCCGCCUUACUAACCAAAAGCAACUCACGCUACGACCAGUUACUGCGCCGAGACCUUCAAGUACUACACCACUAACGUACUGGUGUAUUUUACCACAACUUAUCUUCCCCCAGUUACCACACUGACGCUCCGAAGUAUUACUCUGCCCCGAUCUACACCAAUAAGGUACCGGAGUACUACAGGAAUACGUAUGCUGCCCCAACCUACUACACCGAGGCUCCCAAGUACUACUCUGUCCUCAGCUACUUACUACACCGAUGGCUAAACUACUACAACGAGGCUCCGGCUGAUUACUAAACCAAAAUGGUUGCAAACUACACCAAAGCGCCCAAGAACUACUCUGCCCCGAUCUACACAGCCACAACUUGCGGUAACAGGCGUUCAAGUAUUACGCAGCCCUACGCAGAAGCUGCCUUUUCGUACUACGAAGAAAUACUACACUGAUGCUCCAGUUUGCUACACCGCAACCUAUGCUUUACCUAGCUACAACACCGAAGCUCCCAAGUACUACUUAAUUAUACCGUAUAAAAGUUGCAAUUAGUAUUUUGUUCAAUUGGCAUUUUGUCUAUUUCGUUCGGAUGUUAAGAUUUUUAGAAAAAAGAAAAACAAACAUGGGAAAUUUUAUCCCCAACAGUUAAUAAAAGAAACUUUUCAAUUAGGAAAGGAAGGAGGAGAAAAUUGGGGAAGGAAAGUAAGCAUUUGAAUAUUUCAUUGAAUUUUACAUCUAUUAAUUUUCGUGAAGUUUCAUAUUGUCCUAAUAACUUGUAAAUUUGUACUAGUUCUGAUAAAUUACAAUUAGACAUAACAUUGUUCUGUCAUAAUAAACCUUCUAUAAUUAAUCAAUGAUACAUUUUCCUAAAACAGUACUUAAUUAACUGUUACUCACCAUAACCACUUGAAUGAUAGUACUGUCUUGCAGUUGUCUGCAAAAUAAAUAACAGCAAAGAAUUGAAUCUGGGGAAUGUAGCAAUAUUUUAGAGAUUAACUAUGACUGGAAUGCAGAUUGCUAAUUAGAAAUGAUAUACAUUAGAUGCCACAGUAAUAAUUUUUUAAUCCUGGACAAAAGAAGUAUCUUGCAAAUGCAAACUAUUUAGUUUAGGAAGACAUAGCUUGCAUUAUUGGAUUGUCCUGUUUGAUCUCUGUUUUCACAAGCACUGAGGAGUGAGGCUGCACCUAGGUCAACUUCAGCUGAAAUCUUCUGAAAACAUUGAGUCAUGAACACAAUAAGAAUCAGUAGCUAAAUUUUAUGUUAUUUAAAAUCGGUUAAACUUGAAAUCCUAAUCUGAAUUUGUUUUUAUAUUUUAAAGUAACUUAUGAUGUGUAGUUGUGUACUGUGUAGCUUAGGAGCAGACAAAGUUUCCCCAAAGAAAUCUUGGGAGGCUUUUAGGGGCUUUUAGCCCAGACAACCUGUCACAUUCCAAUGCUGCUCUCCAAUUAUCAAUGGUCAUCGUAACCUACAGAAAAAAAAAAAGAUUUAUCACAAGUAAGACAAAGUGCAGAAUUACAGGAAUAAAGCUAAAGGGGUGACAUGUGAUUAUUUAUAUGUCAAGUUCCUAGAGUGAGAAUCAAAUGAGCCAAUUACAUAAUGUUGUUGUCAGAUAUGGUAGUGUGGAGUGGAGUGCCUUGUAGUAUGCUGCGGUGAAUAGAAAAGCAUUCUGAAUAACUGACAGGUUUACCUAACAAACUGGGUGUUUUUCCUUUCAGCAAUUCACUGACUAAACACUGAUGCCCAGGUGCUGAAAUGACUGGAAUCACUUGCAGACAAGGCACAUGAACCAAUAUCACUGCAUUGUCUUCAGAGUAGAAGUUGGACUGGUAAAUUUGUGUGGUUGUUGAAGUGUGUAAAAGUUGGACUGGCGUCCAUCACCACCUUGGGAUUUCGUCUGUUGUGUGUGGUGUUGUUGGUGAAAUUUUGCAAGGAGAACGUUACGUGAACGAGGAAACGUAGCCUACCGUUGACUAUUGUGUUCAAAAUGUGCCAUCGAAAUGAGACAGGCACAGGUAAUGACACACGAAAUGACACAGGAUUCAUCAUAAUUAUCUGCUGUAACAACUGGACUUGCUAGAUCACCAACCUCAUCACGGGCCAAUCUCUCAUUCCAUCUUCUAGAGAACCUUGGUUUCAUGUGUUUGAAACUAUAGGUUUCUAAAUUUGCAUGACAGACUUUAAAUGAAAAGUCAUGUUGAAGAAAAAGAACUGUCUGGCAGUCAACAAGCUAUGCUACCUUGUUUGGUAACCUGUUGCCUACUUCCCUUGAGAUCCCUUUUUACUUUCUUAAGCUUCAUUUGAGGGUAACUCCUUCGCUACUUGUCUUGGUCCUUGGACUUUAUCUAUUGGUGAUGCUAUAAUUCAAGAGAAUGCUGUCAUUCAAGACUGAAAAAUUGUGUAGUUGUUAGAUAAAACAAGUGCAUUCAAUUAAGGCAGUGUCUCCCACUGUCUAGAUUGUCUGUAUGUGCAAGUUUCAAAAGCAGUUUAUCACCCAAAUGAGACAAAAAGAGUUUGUUAGGUUUGUUUUAUUUGGGUAUAAAUUGCUUUAAAAUUUGCACACAUCAACAUUUGUCUUGUACCGGACGCUUUGAUUAU
This 4686-nucleotide long non-coding RNA is filed under the name Daphnia pulicaria. Its description in RNAcentral is "uncharacterized LOC124311591". Lineage: Eukaryota; Metazoa; Arthropoda; Branchiopoda; Diplostraca; Daphniidae. The record is from RNAcentral.